This 497-nucleotide ribosomal RNA is filed under the name uncultured bacterium. RNAcentral describes it as "partial 16S ribosomal RNA". It matches the Rfam family "Bacterial small subunit ribosomal RNA", at positions 28 to 507 of the family's 1533-position model. The record is from RNAcentral.
GAUGAACGCUGGCGGCGUGCCUAAUACAUGCAAGUCGAGCGAACGGACGAGAAGCUUGCUUCUCUGAUGUUAGCGGCGGACGGGUGAGUAACACGUGGAUAACCUACCUAUAAGACUGGGAUAACUUCGGGAAACCGGAGCUAAUACCGGAUAAUAUUUUGAACCGCAUGGUUCAAAAGUGAAAGACGGUCUUGCUGUCACUUAUAGAUGGAUCCGCGCUGCAUUAGCUAGUUGGUAAGGUAACGGCUUACCAAGGCAACGAUGCAUAGCCGAACUGAGAGGGUGAUAGGCCACACUGGAACUGAGACACGGUCCAGACUCCUACGGGAGGCAGCAGUAGGGAAUCUUCCGCAAUGGGCGAAAGCCUGACGGAGCAACGCCGCGUGAGUGAUGAAGGUCUUCGGAUCGUAAAACUCUGUUAUUAGGGAAGAACAGAUGUGUAAGUAACUGUGCACAUCUUGACGGUACCUAAUCAGAAAGCCACGGCUAACUACGUG